UAAAGCAAGAAAGGGCGUAUGGGGAAUGCCUAGGCACACUCCGGCGAAGAAGGACGCAGCAAACAGCGAAAUGCGACGGUGAGCGGUAAGCACGUGAAGAGCCGUCGAUAUCCGAAUGGGGGAACCCACACGGAGUCAUAUCCGUGUAUCACAUGUCGAAUACAUAGACAUGAUGAGGCGAGACGCAGGGAACUGAAACAUCUAAGUACCUGCAGGAAGAGAAAAUAAGAAUGAUUUUCUGAGUAGCGGCGAGCGAAAGGGAAAGAGCCCAAACCGAUCUGAGGAUCGGGGUAGUAGGAUCAUCGAUAAAUCAAACAGAGGAUCAUAGAGGAAUCACAUGGGAAGGUGAGCGAGAGAGGGUGAGAGCCCCGUACUCGAAAUGAGAGACUGGAGAGAGAUGACACCUGAGUAGGGCGGGACACGAGAAAUCCUGUCUGAAUCAGCCGGGACCAUCCGGCAAGGCUAAAUACGAGAGAGUGACCGAUAGUGAACCAGUACCGUGAGGGAAAGGUGAAAAGAACCCCGGGAGGGGAGUGAAAGAGAACCUGAAACCAUAUGCCUACAAGAAGUCAGAGCCCGUUAAAGGGUGAUGGCGUGCCUUUUGUAGAAUGAACCGGCGAGUUACUGUAUGGAGCGAGGUUAAGCAGGAUAUGCGGAGCCGAAGCGAAAGCGAGUCUUAAGAGGGCGCGAGUUGCAUGCAGUAGACCCGAAACCGGGUGAUCUAGCCAUGACCAGGUUGAAGUUGGGGUAAAACCCGAUGGAGGACCGAACCGACCCCCGUUGAAACGUUGGCGGAUGAGUUGUGGCUAGGGGUGAAAUUCCAAUCGAACCCGGAGAUAGCUGGUUCUCCCCGAAAUAGCUUUAGGGCUAGCGUCGAGAGAAGAGUUGCGUGAAGGUAGAGCACUGAAUAUGUGAUGGCCCCAUCUCGGGGUACUGAGCAUAAUCAAACUGCGAAUGUCACGCCAACAUGCUCGGCAGUCAGACAGCGGGUGAUAAGGUCCGUUGUCAAGAGGGAAACAGCCCAGACCAUCAGCUAAGGUCCCAAAAUGUAUGCUAAGUGGAAAAGGAUGUGGAGAUGUACAGACAACUAGGAGGUUGGCUCAGAAGCAGCCAUCCUUUAAAGAGUGCGUAACAGCUCACUAGUCGAAUGACUCUGCGCCGAUAAUUUACCGGGGCUAAGCAUACUACCGAAGCUAUGGAUCCCAAGGGAUGGUAGGGGAGCGUUCCAUGAACGGAGAAGUACGACCGAAAGGACGUGUGGAGAUCAUGGAAGAGAGAAUGCCGGUGUGAGUAGCGGAACGUGGGUGAGAAUCCCACGCACCGAAAACCCAAGGUUUCCAGAGGAAGGUUCGUCCGCUCUGGGUAAGUCGGGACCUAAGGCGAGGCCGAAAGGCGUAGUCGAUGGACAACAGGUAGAGAUUCCUGUACCCGUAUAUAUGUGAAGGAAUGACGGAGAGAGGAAGCUGCAGCCAGCGGCUGGAAGAGCUGGUGCAAGCGAGAUAUCGGGAUGGCAGGCAAAUCCACCAUCCGAAACGAGAAGGCGUGAAGCGUACGGAAAGCUACGGCGAGUACGGAAGGCAGUGGAGGAACUUCCAAGAAAAGUUUCUAACGUUAAGUAUAUAUGGCCCGUACCGAAAAUGGACACACAUGGGUGAGGAGAGAAUCCUAAGGUGAGCGAGAGAACUAUAGCUAAGGAACUCUGCAAAAUGACUCCGUAACUUAGGGAGAAGGAGUGCUCAUAGAGAUAUGAGCCGCAGUGAAACGGCCCAAGCGACUGUUUACCAAAAACACAGCUCUCUGCUAAGCCGCAAGGCGAAGUAUAGGGGGUGACGCCUGCCCGGUGCUGGAAGGUUAAGGGGAGGGGUUAACGCAAGUGAAGCCCUGAACUGAAGCCCCAGUAAACGGCGGCCGUAACUAUAACGGUCCUAAGGUAGCGAAAUUCCUUGUCAGGUAAGUUCUGACCCGCACGAA
This 1971-nucleotide ribosomal RNA is filed under the name human gut metagenome. RNAcentral describes it as "bacterial LSU rRNA". It matches the Rfam family "Bacterial large subunit ribosomal RNA", at positions 1 to 1996 of the family's 2925-position model. The record is from RNAcentral.